RNAcentral lists this ribosomal RNA (571 nucleotides) under Clostridioides difficile. RNAcentral's name for it is "partial 23S ribosomal RNA". It matches the Rfam family "Bacterial large subunit ribosomal RNA", at positions 1 to 574 of the family's 2925-position model. Lineage: Bacteria; Bacillati; Bacillota; Clostridia; Peptostreptococcales; Peptostreptococcaceae. The record is from RNAcentral.
UGGUCAAGUUAUUAAGGGUGCAGGGCGGAUGCCUUGGCACUAGGAGCCGAUGAAGGACGUGAUAAGCUGCGAUAAGCUUCGGGGAGUUGCACGUAAACUUUGAUCCGAAGAUUUCCGAAUGAGGAAACUCACUUAGAGUAAUGUCUAAGUAUCAUUAAGUGAAUACAUAGCUUAAUGAGGGGAACUCAGGGAACUGAAACAUCUAAGUACCUGAAGGAAGAGAAAGAAAUUCGAUUCCGUAAGUAGCGGCGAGCGAACGCGGAUUAGCCCAAACCAAUAAAGUUUUCUUUAUUGGGGUUGAGGACAUACCACAUAUAAGAGGUCAUUAUAGACGAAGAAGUUUGGAAAAACUCAUCAUAGAAGGUAAUAAUCCUGUAGUCAAAAUAAUAAUUCUUUAGGUAUGAUCCAGAGUACCACGGGACACGUGAAACCCUGUGGGAAGCAGGAGGGACCACCCUCCAAGGCUAAAUACUACCUAGUGACCGAUAGCGUAUAGUACCGUGAGGGAAAGGUGAAAAGAACCCCGGGAGGGGAGUGAAAUAGAACCUGAAACCCUGCACUUACAAGCUGU